GCCCAGUUAGCUCAGUCAGUAGAGCAUGGGACUCAUAGUCCCAGGGUCAUGGGGUUCAAGCCCCACGUUGGGUG
Molecule: transfer RNA, 74 nt
Filed under: Heterocephalus glaber (naked mole-rat)
Lineage: Eukaryota; Metazoa; Chordata; Mammalia; Rodentia; Bathyergidae
Rfam family: tRNA
About the family: Transfer RNA (tRNA) molecules are approximately 80 nucleotides in length. Their secondary structure includes four short double-helical elements and three loops (D, anti-codon, and T loops). Further hydrogen bonds mediate the characteristic L-shaped molecular structure. tRNAs have two regions of fundamental functional importance: the anti-codon, which is responsible for specific mRNA codon recognition, and the 3' end, to which the tRNAs corresponding amino acid is attached (by aminoacyl-tRNA synthetases). tRNAs cope with the degeneracy of the genetic code in two manners: having more than one tRNA (with a specific anti-codon) for a particular amino acid; and 'wobble' base-pairing, i.e. permitting non-standard base-pairing at the 3rd anti-codon position.
Source: Rfam by way of RNAcentral